Sciurus carolinensis (gray squirrel) is the source of this 694-nucleotide long non-coding RNA. RefSeq lists it as uncharacterized. Lineage: Eukaryota; Metazoa; Chordata; Mammalia; Rodentia; Sciuridae. The transcript is spliced from 3 exons. The record is from RefSeq and is a predicted model, not a curated record.
AGAUGGGUCCACUGAGGUCCAAGGAGGAAAGGGACUUGCUAAAGGUCACAGGGCGGGUCAGAGGGGGUCCAAGCUGGACCUCCAGGGGUGGGUCCCAGGCCUGGCCUUUCCCCGUGAGCCUCAGGCCCAGCGGGCAGUGGCUGCCUCCCGUCAAGCCAGCUGUCCCGUGCAGAGCUGGCGCUGACCUCUCACGCUUUUGCGUCUGUCUCUGAGGCCAGAGAUCAGAGGCCAGAGAUGGUGGAGGCUGAGGAAGGGGAAGGCUGUGGACACAAGCGGAGCAGCUCCCCGUCUCCUCCUGGACCUGUCCAAGGACCACACCCCCGGCCCACCAGGAACAGGGGAGCUGGGCGCAGAGCCACGGACACGAGUGGGUCUUCAAACUGGGAAAGUUCCAAGCAAACCGGAAGCGCUGACUGCCCCAGGCCCCUCCCUCCCAGGAGGAAGCUGCAGGACGAACCCCCGGAGCCCUGGGGCUGCUGCAUCUUAAAUCCAAGCUGCAGAGACGAAGAUCAAAUGCGGGGCUCUGCCCCCUCCAGGAAGGCUUCUGGGAUUGCUCCGAAGUCACCGUCGCAACUCCCCAGACCUGGGCCCGGGGGUGGGGCUUCACAGAGGCCGGGACUGAAAUGCUGAACUGCCCUUGGUUAAUCCUGUGGCUGCGGCAGCUCACUUGGGUGAGCCAGGUGUCCCCCUUCAU